Molecule: long non-coding RNA, 1707 nt
Organism: Epinephelus fuscoguttatus (brown-marbled grouper)
Lineage: Eukaryota; Metazoa; Chordata; Actinopteri; Perciformes; Serranidae
Exons: 5
Source: RefSeq, a predicted model, not a curated record
GGAGGUGUAAAUGUACAGGGUGGAGAGGGUGGAGGUGUUAGUGUACAGGGUGGAGAGGGUGGAGGUGUAAAUGUACAGGGUGGAGAGGCUGGAGGUGUAAAUGUACAGGGUGGAGAGGCUGGAGGUGUAAAUGUACAGGAUGGAGAGGCUGGAGGUGUAAAUGUACAGGGUGGAGAGGGUGGAGGUGUUAGUGUACAGGGUGGAGAGGGUGGAGGUGUAAAUGUACAGGGUGGAGAGGCUGGAGGUGUAAAUGUACAGGGUGGAGAGGCUGGAGGUGUAAAUGUACAGGAUGGAGAGGCUGGAGGUGUAAAUGUACAGGGUGGAGAGGGUGGAGGUGUUAGUGUACAGGGUGGAGAGGCUGGAGGUGUAAAUGUACAGGGUGGAGAGGGUGGAGGUGUUAGUGUACAGGGUGGAGAGGCUGGAGGUGUAAAUGUACAGGGUGGAGAGGGUGGAGGUGUUAGUGUACAGGGUGGAGAGGCUGGAGGUGUAAAUGUACAGGGUGGAGAGGGUGGAGGUGUUAGUGUACAGGGUGGAGAGGGUGGAGGUGUUAGUGUACAGGGUGGAGAGGGUGGAGGUGUAAAUGUACAGGGUGGAGAGGCUGGAGGUGUAAAUGUACAGGGUGGAAAGGGUGGAGCCUAAUCAUUUUGAUUGACAAUGGAAUAAACAAGUUCUUGUACCUGUUAUACCUGCAUCGUGGUACUCUGUACCUUCUUCCCAAAUGCAAUAACUCAUAUUCAGGAUUCAGUGCAUGGUCAUGAUCAGACACGAUUUUACGAGCUUGUCUUAUCACUGACUAUUCAAAAAUGACUUGAGGAAUGAUCAGGAGUGUGGACAUACCCAUUAUCUUCCCUGCCACAUUAAUCAACCUAGCCUGGUUUCCAAACCAGCUAGACAUACCAUAUCUUAACACAGACAGAAUACUAGCAUUGUAAAAAAUCAUCAUUAUGUUCCUAUUGACCCCAAACAGUCUUAAUCUCCGUAGGAAGUGCAGGCACUGAUGUAUCUUUGCACAGACAUUUUGCACAUGUGAGUGCCAGCUCAUAUCCCCAUCAACCUGUACUCCCAGAUAUUUAUAGGAGACGACUUGCUGAAUUGUUUGGUUAUGUAUAGAGUGGAGUGGAGGUGUAUAGGUGGAGAGGGUGGAGUUGGUGAAGGUGUGUACAGGGUGCAGAGGGUGUAGAGGUUGGAGGUGUUAGUGUACAGAGUGGAGAGGUUGGAAGUGUUGGUGUGCAGGAUGGAAAUGGUGGAGGUGUUACUGUGCAGGGUGGAGAGGGCAUAGAGGGUGGAGGUGUUCCUCCAUCUCCUCCUUUAGCUUAAACAGAUUCUGACCAGUGUGACCAUCUGGACUAGUCUGAUCAGGACCAAUCUGAUUAGGACCAGUCUGACCAUAAGGACCAGUCUGACCAUCAGGACCAGUCUGAUCAGGUCUAGUCUGACCAUCAGGACCAGUCUGACCAUCAGGACCGGUCUGAUCAGGACCAAUCUGACCAUCAAGACCAGUCUGACCAUCAGGACCAGUCUGACCAUCAGGACCAGUCUGAUCAGGUCUAGUCUGACCAUAAGGACCAGUCUGAUCAGGACCAAUCUGACCAUCAGGACCGGUCUGACAAUCAGGACCAGUCUGACCAUCAGGACCAGCCUGAUCAGGACCAAUCUGACCAUCAGGACCAGUCUGACCAUCAGGACUAGUCUGACCAUCGAGACCAG